This 28-nucleotide non-coding RNA is filed under the name Callithrix jacchus (white-tufted-ear marmoset). RNAcentral also lists the same sequence under 1 other name. The record is from RNAcentral. Lineage: Eukaryota; Metazoa; Chordata; Mammalia; Primates; Cebidae.
UCCAAGAUACAAGAGAACGCAUUGCCAC